Molecule: non-coding RNA, 73 nt
Organism: Blastocladiella britannica
Lineage: Eukaryota; Fungi; Blastocladiomycota; Blastocladiomycetes; Blastocladiales; Blastocladiaceae
Source: the annotation of a GenBank genome assembly
GGCCCCGUAGCUCAGUGGCUAGAGCGUCCCUCUCCUAAAGGGAAAGUCGAGGGUUCAACCCCCUCCUGGGUCG